This 253-nucleotide unclassified non-coding RNA is filed under the name uncultured Bacillaceae bacterium. RNAcentral's name for it is "contains 16S-23S intergenic spacer region". It matches the Rfam family "Bacterial small subunit ribosomal RNA", at positions 524 to 776 of the family's 1533-position model. The record is from RNAcentral. Lineage: Bacteria; Bacillati; Bacillota; Bacilli; Caryophanales; Bacillaceae.
UACGUAGGGGGCAAGCGUUGUCCGGGAUUAUUGGGCGUAAAGCGCGCGCAGGCGGUUCCUUAAGUCUGAUGUGAAAGCCCACGACUCAACAGUGGAGGGUCAUUGGAAACUGGGGAACUUGAGGACAGAAGAGGAGAGUGGAAUUCCACGUGUAGCGGCGAAAUGCGUAGAUAUGUGGAGGAACACCAGUGGCGAAGGCGACUCUCUGGUCUGUUUCUGACGCUGAGGUGCGAAAGCGUGGGUAGCAAACAGG